This is a long non-coding RNA of Herpailurus yagouaroundi (jaguarundi), 2268 nucleotides long. RefSeq lists it as uncharacterized. NCBI's taxonomy places the organism in Eukaryota, Metazoa, Chordata, Mammalia, Carnivora, Felidae. The record is from RefSeq and is a predicted model, not a curated record. The transcript is spliced from 6 exons.
CUCCUUUCCCCUUUCCCCUUCUCCCACUCUCUCUACUGCACGCUCCCUCGCCUUCCUCCCAGUCCCAAUGCUGGCAACUCGAGCUGAACUUGAUCCCUUUGCAGUUCAAAGGUGUUAGCUGCAGCCUGAUCAUGUCUGCCUAUUUGGAGAGAAGAGAUAGUACCUACCCCUGCCUUUUUGGUGACAUCUGAUAUGAAACUUGCUUUUGCGACCAACAAAGGGACUCUUUGCUUCUAGCUUCCUCGUCAAACAGAUUUGCUUAAAACAUAGGAGAGAGGGUGAGCGAAAAACAUGGUAAACUUGAAAAGUGAAGUUAUUGCUGACAACCAAGGCUUCCAGAAAUUUGCUCACCAUCCACUGUAUUGGCACAAAGGUGUAGUGCCCGAGGCUCUCGGGUGAUGGACUAUCCCACAGCGCGGGAUGCAGGAAGCCUCCGCGUGGUGGACCGGAAUCCAGCCUCCAGUGUGUGGAACAGGAAGCAAGUCUGUAGAAAGUUCUGCCAAUUGCAGUUAUCCCUGCUUUUCGAAAGUUCCAGCCAGUCGCACCACUAGGCUUUUAUGAAAAACCUACCUUAGCACUCGUUUUCGAUAACCGAAAGAAAUCCGAAGAGGAUCUUUGCCUUGACAAAAGAAAGCGAAAAGAGAAAAUAGAGUUCGGUGUUUGUUUUGCAGCAAGCUGUUGUAGAGGCCGCGUGUGAGAGUGGCCCUGCCAUACUCCUUCCCCGGGAACUACAUUCAGCACCUCAGCAUGAGGCUGCCACAGCUUUGAACGGUGUCGGAGAAAGCUUGAUUGGAAUUUGAUGUCUCUGAUGCCAUGAGUGUCUUUCUUCAAGGGCAGUGUAAAUUCACAAUGGCGCUUGCCACAGAAAACGGAAGUAUCUUUUGACAGAGCUGGCAAUGUGACCUCUGCUUGGGAAUAGGACGGCAGUAGAGGAUUUAUACGAUCCUGGAUAUAUCCUAAGCUAGAGACCACCGACUAUAUGUAGCCUGAACUUGACCAGAUGCUGUGGCAGCAGAUCAUAGAAUCAGGAGCCUUCUGAAAACAUCAGGAGAUUAGAACUGCUUAAGAAGUGGACCUUCUUCCAUUUCUAAUUAUCGUGGGGGUUAUGAAAUAUCCUGGAAUCAGAUAUAUCUAAGUUCAGAUCCUAGCAGAGGAAUCUUGGACAUUCUCAUAACAUUUCUGAUGGUUAUAGGAGAUGAUGAAAGGUAAGUAUGGUUCAUGGAGCCUAAUGAAUUGUAAGUACUCGUUGAAUGAAAGCCGGUGGUGUUACACCUGCUUUAUUUUCCCUGACUUUUCCCUUUGUCUGUUACUGUUCUUGAUCAUGCCUGCCUCUUACUCUGUUGGUUCAAACUCUUCCUCUUUGCUGCUUCCUCCCAUUAUGAGAUUUCUUUUUUAAGAACAUUAGGUUAAUAGCUCUUUAGUUGAUUGAUUACUCAGUUUCAAGCUCUGCAUCGGUCCUGUGUGUCUUUAUGCCAUGAAGGAACCUCACACCCUACCAAUCAGCGCUCAUUGUGUUUGACUUCUUGAUUUCAAACCUUAGUUGCUCAUCACUUCUGUUUGGGGUUUCAGGAAAAACUAGCCUGUCUUUUAAUGCAUCGGAGGUAGAUUCCAACAUAUAAGUAAACAUCUUAGUAGGCAAAGGUUAAAGUGAAGAGAGCGACAACAGCAAAUAAUCUUCUCUCCUCAUUAGCAUGUAAGGAGGGGUUUGGAGCCAGAGAAAUUUUUGAUUCCUAGCCAAUCCACUUAUUAUUCAAGUUCCUUGCACAAGACAGUUAACUUCUUUGAGAGACUUUCCUGAUCUGUAAAACGGGAGUUCAGUUGUUGACUUAGCGGGUUGCUGUGAGAGUUAGAAAUGCACCGCUUUCCUAGGGCGAUGCCUCGCAUAUAGUUGAUGUCCCAUGAAUGCUGGCUGUCCCGGUCAUUGCAGCUAGGAGCAAACCAGCAGAUUGCAGUGGCCUCCUGAGAAGUGGGUACUGAUUAGAAUGAAGGAGGGGGGGAGGAAGACACCCCAGAGAAAAUACUGUCUGCUUCUGCUCAAGGUCAGCCCUGUCAGGCUGCCAAGAGGCGAAGACCUUUAAUUUCAUGGUGUCAUUUUCUCUUCCUAAAAGUACAGUCUGACAUAUAUUUGCUUUUUAAAUUGAAGUGAACUAAAAUUAAUCUCAUUAUGGGAAUCUGAUAGUCCUCAAGGUACUUGGAGACUCCUGAGUGUCACAAAACUAGGAUCAAAAACGCUGGUAAACUGCCAGUGGAAAAAGCAAAGGCAGCUAA